GACAAUUUCGAGUUGAAGAGGGUAAUUCUUAAAGAACAAGGUUUUAAGUUAGUCUGGCCGAGAUGAGUGUAAUAAGAAUUCUAAGUGAUGUAGAAAUUNUGGAGUUAAUCUAAGGGCUCAGUUUUGAAGUUCAUAUGAAGAAGUUACUUGAUAGGGAAGGAUAGAGAAGUUGGUGCAUCAAGUGUAGUUAAGAAAACGUGGGAGCAAGUAUUAUGGGAAUCCAGGACAUCUAAUAAACGCAAGUGAAGAAUAGUUGAUGUUGUUCUUUCAUAAAUUUGAGGUGUGAUCAUCAAGGGAGGUUUGUUUGUUUUCAAUCGUUUCUGGGGGUUGUGACCUUCAAAAGAAGUGUUGUGCUUUAAGAAGGAGAACCAAUGGCUAUGCAAUAAAAGUGACUCAAGUUAAAAUGUGAAGACAAAGGGUUGUGAAAGUCAGAAGAGUUUAACGAGGAUAAGCAGAGAAGAGAAGAUGAAUCUUUAUGAUAUAAGGGUUUUGGUUGGUGUUUUGCAACAAGUAUGGGAUUUUAUAUCUUGGAGAAGUGGUGUUCACUUUGGAGCGGUGUCUAAACAGAAUUGAUGUCAGUACUCUUUUUGUGAGUGGUUCUUGUUGAAGUGGUGUAGUGUAAGAGGAAGAUGGAAGUUGGGUUAGAGUAGUAGUGUUGGACUCAGUGUAAUCAUAAGGAGAACUUCAAGGUUGGAGAAUCUCAGAAGAGACAUGGAGGAUAGGUUGGGACAACCUAGUAUGAGUCUUAGAAAUCAAGAGUGAUUUUCUAGCAUGUUCGUUUCGUUGAGUAGAAAACAGUAUUGAGGGAAAUGGAAUAACAAGACUAUCAAGUAAGAGAAGAGUUGUUCAGGGUUUUUGCUAGGUCAUAGAAAUUUUGAAGAAAGUUUUUCAAGGGCGAUCAUUUUCGGGUUGCAAUCGCCAUGAGGAAGUAUUCUUUGAGUCAACUAGUGAACAAAGGAGUUUGAGGGUCAGAGUAGCGCAACAGAUGAUGGUGAGCGUGUUGUUGUCAGUAAUAGGUAUGCACAAAGAACUUUCGUAAUUGUGGAUUGGUGGUUUGUGAGGAAUGAGUUGGGAGUGUUUGGCGAUCUUUAAGAGUCAGAAGUGAGCUUAGGUAUGAAAGAAACAGGUAUCAAGCAGAGAAGAUAAGCGAGUAGACAAUUUCAAGCUGCAGGGUCAACUUUAAAGUAAGGAAAUAUUAAUGGAUUUGGAACAGUAAGAGUGAGUCAGUGAACGAAGGGGAUGAUUGAGCUAUGGUUUUGAGUUAUAGUGGCAAUCUAUAGGUAAGAAAAUACAGCUUGAGCAGAGAGAAGAAGCAGGUUCUUGGUUUGAUAAGGAUUGAAUCAGAGGUGAUUGAAGAAUAUGAAGAUUGGGGUCUCUAGGGAAGCUGUAAAGGGAUUUCAUUAGUAUAAUUGAAUGUUAUAACUAGGGGGUUUCUCAAAAUGGUUGACAAAGCACCAUUUGGACAAUCCUAGUUUGAGAUGUAUCAAAAGUUGGCUUGGUACUGAUCGAGCUAGUGAUCUCAAGUCGAAGAGGUUACAGAUCUAAGCAUGAUUGCAGGCUAGUGAGUCAAGGAUUGCAUAUGGUUCAGGUCAGUAAAAUAACAAGUGAAGCUAGAGUGCUCAAAUUGGUUUUGUUGUUGCAACGAAGUAAAGAUUUAAUUUGGUAAUGGGGUAGUAUAGUUGGAAACUAUGCUACUCAAGAGUUGAGAUCAGUAAGACAAUGUGAAGUCCUCAGUUUGAGUGCGGUGGUAGGUUAUCAAGAGCAUAACAGUUGGUAGUUAAAUCAGAAAUGGUAGUGGUAGUGAUCAAGCCAAAAGUGUGGUGGUUCUUGGAAGGAACAAGAGGAGGUAAGAUAAUAUCAUUCGAGGGUUGAUCUAAAGUGAAGACUAGUGGAAGUUUUAGAAGAGAUUUACAAGAGGGAAAGAAAGAAAGACGAGGGGUUGGAGGAGUGACAAAACCAAUGGGAUUGGUUGCAUGAAAGAAAGGUUCUUAGCACCUGAGGCAUAUAGAUUUAGAUUUGUCUAGAGGCAAAAGGCUAAAUCAAUCUACAAUAUUGAACACUAGAGCAUUUUACCACAAGAGCAUGGUUUUUCAUGUUAGUAAGGUCGUUGGGGAUUAAUAUCUUAGUCAAAAUAGGAGGGUUUACUAGAGGAUGUGAGGAGAGUAGGGUGUUCAUUCUAUCUGUUAAGCGAAUUUUCGAGGACAAAAAUUUUUGUGUUGGGAAGAAUGUAAGGCCCUAGAAAAUGUGUAUAUAUAUAUAUAUAUAUAUAUAUAUAUAUAUAUAUAUAUUAAAUAGAAAAUAAAAGGAUUAAGUUAAGGAAAAAAAGUUUUUCUUUAUUUUAUAAAGCGUAUAAGAUAUGAACUUUACCAAAAACUCUGCUCAUUUCUUCUAAACCACUUUCCCUCUCUAGAAAGUUUUCUCACCAUUUUCUAUGCCUUCUCUGUACCAAAUCUUCCUACUAAACCAUUGUAAUUCCAUUUAGGUGACGUCCACGCGCUCCUAGAGUCGAAAGUUUCGACUUGAACCGAUUAGUUUCAUGUCCUUCAGCGAGUAAGCUAUUCUUCCCUUCUCCUUGCUUUUAGGGUUUUGAUCAUGCAAAGAUUUUUCUUUGCAUGUGAUUAGUAGUUCCUCUUCUCCACUCCCU
RNAcentral lists this long non-coding RNA (2644 nucleotides) under Vigna radiata. Its description in RNAcentral is "long non-coding RNA (VRAD_LNC014101)". Lineage: Eukaryota; Viridiplantae; Streptophyta; Magnoliopsida; Fabales; Fabaceae. The record is from RNAcentral.